This 253-nucleotide ribosomal RNA is filed under the name uncultured bacterium. Its description in RNAcentral is "partial 16S ribosomal RNA". It matches the Rfam family "Bacterial small subunit ribosomal RNA", at positions 524 to 776 of the family's 1533-position model. The record is from RNAcentral.
GACAGAGGGUGCAAACGUUGUUCGGAAUUACUGGGCGUAAAGCGCGUGUAGGCAGCCGUGCAAGUUGGGUGUGAAAGCCCUGGGCUCAACCUAGGAAGUGCACUCAAAACUGCAAGGCUGGAGUCCUGGAGAGGAAGGCGGAAUUCUCGGUGUAGAGGUGAAAUUCGUAGAUAUCGAGAGGAACACCGGUGGCGAAGGCGGCCUUCUGGACAGUGACUGACGCUGAGACGCGAAAGCGUGGGGAGCAAACAGG